This is a non-coding RNA of Zonotrichia albicollis (white-throated sparrow), 1119 nucleotides long. NCBI's taxonomy places the organism in Eukaryota, Metazoa, Chordata, Aves, Passeriformes, Passerellidae. The record is from RefSeq and is a predicted model, not a curated record.
GCAGCCACGGCAGCGUUAAACAAGACAAGCAGUUCCCAUCUGACUCCUCUCUGCCUGUGUGCUGAGCUGUGCCGCUGCUCCUGGCAGGCUGUGGGCACUCAGGGGCUCUGCAGGAGGAGCUGACACACAUCCAGCCUCAGACAGGUGCUGUAAACCGGCUCCCUGCUCGCCGUGACUACGCAGAGACAAAAGGCUCUGCCUGGGACACAACAACCCUUGGCUCUGGAGCACAGAUGGUGUGCAAGUGCUUUGUGUGACACGAGGUGUUAGAAAGUGCCCAGCUCACUAACAUGUGCUGUCAGGACCUGUUUUCUCCAAGCUGCCAGCCUGUCAUUGUCUUUUGGAAACCAGCAUGAAGCCAGGAAAACCAUUUCCAUCAGAAACAGAAGCUCUGUUUAUACUUCACUUUCAUUUUCUCCUACCAGAGUGUGGACACAAUCCUGAGAUGGUAGGGGUCAGAACUUGUGUAGAUAUAGAUGAGGGCAAGGUUAGAAAGGACAGAAGGCAGAGGGGCCAGCACGAUCUGCUGUGGGAAUAUGCAGCACUCAGGACAUAAUGAUCCACUUGGCUGUGUCUCAUUGAGCAUCCACCAGAUGACCAUCAGGAACUGACAGAGGUAGAGGCCCUUUUGUCUGGUUUUGUUUGGAUGUUGGUGUAACCAUUGCCUCCAUCCUUUUCUCUCAGCGCACUCCUUCAGAUGUAGCAAAACUUGUCUGAAUAAGACUGCAGGAGUGCACAAGAGCUGGGAUAAUUUUAGGGUUAUCUUAAAAUGCUCAGAAGGAUUUCCAUCUUAAGGGGUGGAUGGAGAGGAAGCUGGCUUUAGUUCUUGUUUGACAUCUUGCACCUUUGUUCCCAGGUAAAAAAUUUUAAGUAUCAGAACAUCUAGGCAGCACCAGAAUACCUCAGGGAUUUUAUUUGGCUUUUUAAACAAAUAAGAAAUCUUUCUUCACAAGCUCAAGCUCUUUUUCAUGCAUGCCUUACCCCUGCAGUCUAUCCUUUUCCCAUUCUGUUAUUUUUCAGCUUCUGCAUCUUCACAUUUUCAUCUUCAUCUCAACACAGCUCUUUACAUUCAGCUCAUCUCCAAUUGCAUUCCCUAUUUCUCCUCUGGUCCUCUAAUGC